AUCGCUUCUCGGCCUUUUGGCUAAGAUCAAGCGUAGUAGGAUCUGUUCUUCAGCUUAAUCCCCUCUGUCACUUCCUGCCGCCACCGUUCUCGUUCAGAUCUUUAUUGCUUGGUUAGAUGACUACCAUCAUAAUCUCACUAUACUUCCUGUUCACAUAUCUUCUACAUUCUGAUGGCAGAUUUUCUUAUGAAAGUGAGGAUUAUACCACUA
Molecule: small nuclear RNA, 210 nt
Filed under: Suricata suricatta (meerkat)
Lineage: Eukaryota; Metazoa; Chordata; Mammalia; Carnivora; Herpestidae
Description: U2 spliceosomal RNA (ENSSSUG00005005111.1)
Rfam family: U2 spliceosomal RNA (bases 1-129)
About the family: U2 is a small nuclear RNA (snRNA) component of the spliceosome (involved in pre-mRNA splicing). Complementary binding between U2 snRNA (in an area lying towards the 5' end but 3' to hairpin I) and the branchpoint sequence (BPS) of the intron results the bulging out of an unpaired adenosine, on the BPS, which initiates a nucleophilic attack at the intronic 5' splice site, thus starting the first of two transesterification reactions that mediate splicing.
Source: RNAcentral